UUAUCUUUUCCACUGGAUCAGAAUGAAGACUUUCCUGUUUCUUGCUCUAUUGUUUUGUAUUUUGGGAACUGCCCAAAUUGAGGCAAUUGACCUUUCUGGAGAGCGAGAUGUGACUCCAAUUCGAAUUUCUAGAGCUGAAGCGCGAUCCAAAGGAUAUUCCUGCUGUAUUAACUGUCGCUCUUGGUGCCGGUGCUGUUACGCAUGAUGUUGAUGAAAAUCCAAAAAGAAAACUAUCUGAUGCAAUUCAUUUGAAAUAAAAAAACAAAC
Long non-coding RNA from Saccostrea cuccullata (small rock oyster), 267 nucleotides. RefSeq lists it as uncharacterized. The record is from RefSeq and is a predicted model, not a curated record. The transcript is spliced from 5 exons. NCBI's taxonomy places the organism in Eukaryota, Metazoa, Mollusca, Bivalvia, Ostreida, Ostreidae.